RNAcentral lists this ribosomal RNA (270 nucleotides) under uncultured Desulfobulbus sp. Its description in RNAcentral is "partial 16S ribosomal RNA". It matches the Rfam family "Bacterial small subunit ribosomal RNA", at positions 1113 to 1382 of the family's 1533-position model. Lineage: Bacteria; Pseudomonadati; Thermodesulfobacteriota; Desulfobulbia; Desulfobulbales; Desulfobulbaceae. The record is from RNAcentral.
GUUUGCCAGCAGUUCGGCUGGGCACUCUAAAGGGACUGCCGGUGUUAAACCGGAGGAAGGUGGGGAUGACGUCAAGUCCUCAUGGCCUUUAUGACCAGGGCUACACACGUACUACAAUGGCCGAUACAAAGGGCAGCGACACUGCGAGGUGAAGCCAAUCCCGUAAAAAUCGGUCUCAGUCCGGAUUGGAGUCUGCAACUCGACUCCAUGAAGUUGGAGUCGCUAGUAAUCGUGGAUCAGCAUGCCACGGUGAAUACGUUCCCGGGCCUU